AGGGAGACCUAAUUCGGGUAUAAGACGAAAAAAGAGUAGUCGAAACCAAGAAUCAAUCCCAAAAGGUCGGAACGAGGUAUGUGGCUUUCAAACUAGGUUCUGGGUUCACACAAGACCUGAAUCAGGAACAAGGGCUAUUAGCUCAGGUGGUUAGAGCGCACCCCUGAUAAGGGUGAGGUCCCUGGUUCGAGUCCAGGAUGGCCCACCUGCACAGGUGGCAAAAACAAAGAAGCGAGGAAUCAGCACCUUAUCUUAUCUAUAUAUAAGAGAGAAUGCUGGCUCUGAGUAAAGAGUCCAGAGGAACCUUGAAAACUGCAUAGAGCUAGGUGAAAAAGCCAAAAAAGAAGACCGCAAGGUCAAGCUAAUAAGGGCUAACGGUGGAUACCUAG
RNAcentral lists this transfer RNA (389 nucleotides) under Microcystis sp. PMC 807.12. RNAcentral's name for it is "bacterial LSU rRNA". The stretch from base 132 to 205 matches the Rfam family "tRNA". Lineage: Bacteria; Bacillati; Cyanobacteriota; Cyanophyceae; Chroococcales; Microcystaceae. The record is from RNAcentral.